CGUAAUGGUCAUUCGAGACGUUA
Molecule: non-coding RNA, 23 nt
Filed under: Arabidopsis thaliana (thale cress)
Lineage: Eukaryota; Viridiplantae; Streptophyta; Magnoliopsida; Brassicales; Brassicaceae
Source: RNAcentral